RNAcentral lists this ribosomal RNA (497 nucleotides) under uncultured bacterium. Its description in RNAcentral is "partial 16S ribosomal RNA". It matches the Rfam family "Bacterial small subunit ribosomal RNA", at positions 28 to 507 of the family's 1533-position model. The record is from RNAcentral.
GAUGAACGCUGGCGGCGUGCCUAAUACAUGCAGGUCGAGCGAACGGACGAGAAGCUUGCUUUUCUGAUGUUAGCGGCGGACGGGUGAGUAACACGUGGAUAACCUACCUAUAAGACUGGGAUAACUUCGGGAAACCGGAUCUAAUACCGGAUAAUAUUUUGAACCGCAUGGUGCAAAAGUGAAAGACGGUCUUGCUGUCACUUAUAGAUGGAUCCGCGCUGCAUUAGCUAGUUGGUAAGGUAACGGCUUACCAAGGCAACGAUGCAUAGCCGACCUGAGAGGGGGAUCGGCGACAUUGGAACUGGGCCACGGUCCAGACGCCUACGGGAGGCAGCAGUAGGGAAUCUUCGGCAAUGGGCGAAAUCCUGACGGAGCAACGCGGCGUGAGUGACGAAGGUCUUCGGAUCGUAAAACUCUGCUAUUAGGGAAGAACAUAUGUGUAAGUAACUGUGCAGAUCGUGACGGUACCUAAUAAGAAAGCCCCGGCUAACUACGUG